RNAcentral lists this ribosomal RNA (497 nucleotides) under uncultured bacterium. Its description in RNAcentral is "partial 16S ribosomal RNA". It matches the Rfam family "Bacterial small subunit ribosomal RNA", at positions 28 to 507 of the family's 1533-position model. The record is from RNAcentral.
GAUGAACGCUGGCGGCGUGCCUAAUACAUGCAAGUCGAGCGAACAGACGAGGAGCUUGCUCCACUGACGUUAGCGGCGGACGGGUGAGUAACACGUGGAUAACCUAUCUAUAAGACUGGGAUAACUUCGGGAAACCGGAGCUAAUACCGGAUAAUAUAUUGAACCGGAUGGUUCAAUAGUGAAAGACGGUUUUGCUGUCACUUAUAGAUGGAUCCGCGCCGCAUUAGCUAGUUGGUAAGGUAACGGCUUACCAAGGAAACGAUGCGUAGCCGACGUGAGAGGGGGAUCGGCCACACUGGGACUGAGACACGGCCCAGACUCCUACGGGAGGCAGCGGUAGCGAAUCUUCCGCAAUGGGCGAAAGCCUGACGGAGCAACGCCGCGUUGGUGAUGAAGGGCUGCGGAUCGUAAAACUCUGUUAUUAGUGAAGAACAAUUGUGUAAGUAACUAUGCACGUCUUGACGGUACCUAAUCAGAAAGCCACGGCUAACUACGUG